ACUCAAAUGAAUAGACGGGGGCCCGCACAAGCGGUGGAGCAUGUUGUUUAAUACGUCACUAACCGUAGAACCUUACCAGGGUUUGACAUGUGCCGACAUCCUAUGAAAGUAGGCUCUUCGCAAGAAGCGGCAACACAGGUGUUGCAUGGCUGUCGUCAGCUCGUGUCGUGAGAUGUUGGGUUAAGUCCCGCAACGAGCGCAACCCUCAUCCCAUGUUGCCAUCGGGUCAAGCCGGGAACUCUUGGGAAACUGCCGGGGUAACUCGGAGGAAGGUGAGGAUGACGUCAAGUCAGCAUGGCCCUUACAUCCUGGGCUACAAACAUGCUACAAUGGACGGUAGACAGAGGGAUCCGAGACCGUGAGGUGGAGGCAAUCUCAAAAAUCCGUUCUCAGUUCGGAUCGUAGGCUGCAACUCGCCUACGUGAAGCCGGAAUCGCUAGUAACCGCAGGUCAGCUAAACUGCGGUGAAUACGUUCCCGGGCCUUGUACACACCGCCCGU
RNAcentral lists this ribosomal RNA (500 nucleotides) under uncultured bacterium. Its description in RNAcentral is "partial 16S ribosomal RNA". It matches the Rfam family "Bacterial small subunit ribosomal RNA", at positions 899 to 1397 of the family's 1533-position model. The record is from RNAcentral.